This 253-nucleotide ribosomal RNA is filed under the name uncultured bacterium. RNAcentral's name for it is "partial 16S ribosomal RNA". It matches the Rfam family "Bacterial small subunit ribosomal RNA", at positions 524 to 776 of the family's 1533-position model. The record is from RNAcentral.
UACGGAGGGGGCUAGCGUUGUUCGGAAUUAUUGGGCGUAAAGCGCGCGUAGGCGGCUACUUAAGUCGGAUGUGAAAGCCCUUGGCUCAACUGAGGAAGUGCACCCGAAACUGAGUGGCUUGAGUACGAAAGAGGGUCGCGGAAUUCCCGGUGUAGAGGUGAAAUUCGUAGAUAUCGGGAGGAACACCGGUGGCGAAGGCGGCGACCUGGGUCGAUACUGACGCUGAUGCGCGAAAGCGUGGGGAGCAAACAGG